UGGGGAAUUUUCCGCAAUGGGCGCAAGCCUGACGGAGCAAGACCGCGUGGGGGAAGACGGUCUGUGGAUUGUAAACCCCUUUUGACCGGGAAGAAGAACUGACGGUACCGGUCGAAUCAGCCUCGGCUAACUCCGUGCCAGCAGCCGCGGUAAUACGGAGGAGGCAAGCGUUAUCCGGAAUUAUUGGGCGUAAAGCGUCCGCAGGUGGUUUAUCAAGUCAGCUGUUAAAGCGUGGUGCUCAACACCAUACCGGCAGUUGAAACUGAUAGGCUAGAGUGCGAUAGGGGCAAGGGGAAUUCCCAGUGUAGCGGUGAAAUGCGUAGAUAUUGGGAAGAACACCGGUGGCGAAAGCGCCUUGCUGGGUCUGCACUGACACUGAGGGACGAAAGCUAGGGGAGCGAAUGGGAUUAGAUACCCCAGUAGUCA
Molecule: ribosomal RNA, 426 nt
Filed under: Leptolyngbya sp. PD43-1
Lineage: Bacteria; Bacillati; Cyanobacteriota; Cyanophyceae; Leptolyngbyales; Leptolyngbyaceae
Description: bacterial SSU rRNA
Rfam family: Bacterial small subunit ribosomal RNA
Source: RNAcentral